ACCCCUGUAGCUCAAUGGAAAGAGCCCAAUCCUGACUCAAUUGGAGAUGCGGGUUCGAUUCCCGCCAGGGGUU
Molecule: transfer RNA, 73 nt
Filed under: Actinomycetota bacterium
Lineage: Bacteria; Bacillati; Actinomycetota
Description: Actinobacteria bacterium tRNA-OTHER
Rfam family: tRNA
About the family: Transfer RNA (tRNA) molecules are approximately 80 nucleotides in length. Their secondary structure includes four short double-helical elements and three loops (D, anti-codon, and T loops). Further hydrogen bonds mediate the characteristic L-shaped molecular structure. tRNAs have two regions of fundamental functional importance: the anti-codon, which is responsible for specific mRNA codon recognition, and the 3' end, to which the tRNAs corresponding amino acid is attached (by aminoacyl-tRNA synthetases). tRNAs cope with the degeneracy of the genetic code in two manners: having more than one tRNA (with a specific anti-codon) for a particular amino acid; and 'wobble' base-pairing, i.e. permitting non-standard base-pairing at the 3rd anti-codon position.
Source: RNAcentral